This 28-nucleotide non-coding RNA is filed under the name Rattus norvegicus (Norway rat). The record is from RNAcentral. Lineage: Eukaryota; Metazoa; Chordata; Mammalia; Rodentia; Muridae.
UAGAACCAGAGGCCUCUCAUGGUCACUC